CGUCUUCAGAGUGUUGGUGCUCUGCCUUUCAGCAGCAGCAACACUUCAGCGAAGUGGGCGGUUUUGUUGGGACAACGGAAUCCGCUCAUCUGAAGGUAAGCUCUGACUUAUUCACGAGGUUGUACCACUGAUCAAGUGGCAUGACGUACCUAUAGGUUUUAUUCAUGAGCUCCAAAUGAAUUUGUGGCUAAAUUAUGAUUUUCUAGAUUCUUAAUGUCCAAGUACAUUACAAACCUGAAGUCAAAACACAAGCUAACGAUAAACUGACAAAAUUAGAUAGUGUAUAGAUUCCUAGAUUGAGUAUAAUCUGAGGAUUAUUGCAGGGGUGUUUUAACCACGUCACCAGAUUUUUUAAACAUGCAUGUCUACUAGGUCUCCACUACAUAAAGUAACAACAACAAAAUAAAUAAAUGGCUUUUCAAUUAUCAAUCUUAAAAGAAUAAUAGAAGCAUUGAUUUUCAAUAUUGAAACUAAAAUCAGUUCCGGUUUUAGCAAAUUCAAAUUAGGAUUGUGAGUUCUUUUAUCUUCAGCUUUCGUUUGUCUAAGUGGACACUACAACCCUAAACUCUAAAAUCAGAUAGGCUUGGCUCAACUCCUAAACCGGAUAAAGUCCCUAUAAGAUUUUAAUUUAAUAUUUAUUUUGACUCAGCGGUUCUAAGAUUUCAAUUGAAUAUUGACAUUGCGAUGAAUCGGAAGCUGAAAUUGGCUUUCAUUUUUGUACUGAAAUGGAUGUGGUAUUUUUUUAUUACUAAGAUACCUCCACUUGUUUUCAAAAUGGAUUUUGAUUUUUCACUGAAACUGAUGGAUAUGAUUUUCUACUAAAAUGAAACCAUUCUUUUUCGGGGUAUAUGGUAUUGAUAUUAAAUUGUGGUACUGAAAUUAUGAUCUGGUCUACCGAAUUUGUGGUAGUGAAACUGGGAAUUGGACGAGCGCUCUUCUACUCAGCUACUCGGACAUGCCCUCAAGGUCUCAGCUCAUGAGCCUCCCACUCUUCCUUGUGAAGCAGCAAAUGCAACAUACCUAAAGGUGAAUAGAGUAUUUAUUUGUACUAUAAAUGUCAUAAGAAAAAGUUGACUAUAGGCUGGUUAUAGUUUACCCAUGAUUCAUCAUGUCAUUCUUAGGUGCAUAAACUAAGGUGUACAUAAUUUAUUUUGUGGAGGAAGAAUGUGGCAACUUAAACAGUAUUACAUGUGAUGCCAUGUCGCUGCAGGGAAGCAUUCGCACACUCACGUUUGGCAUGUUCCAUAAGCAGACCUGUCGUCAUUGGUUGAGGUAAGCAAUGUUUCUUGCUUUCUCAUAUAUUUGUUUUUAUUCACUAAGUUUGACUUUGUACUUGGGAAGUCAAAUCACUAUUUCUGUUCAAGGUUGUCAUGAAAAUUUCAAAAAUGGAAUGGAAUGAAUUAACAGUGCGCUUCUGCAUUUUUUGGUUUAGAUGUUGCAAGGCUGCGAGGUGAGGGCAGACGGUGCACGUCAUCACUGCCGCUCUCUCCUGUCUCUGUUUUUCUCUUUGCUGAAGAAAUUUCACACAACCAGGAGCAGUGAAUAGGGUUACAGUUUGUGAACUGAGAUGUUUGUGUAGUUGCUGCACUUUUAUAACUACUUCUGAUUAGUUGCGGAUGCAAUGAUGUUUAGCUGAUGUGAAAUAUUUUUGACUAGAAUCCUUGAUCAUGUAUUUGUUCCAUUUUUAAAUUGAUUUAUUAUGCUUCAUACACACCAGAGACAAUUUCAUCUAAGGAAAAUCAAGGUCUGAUUGAAAAAAAAUUAAGUUCUUGGCACAAUUAACAUUGGAUGACCCGGCUUGCUAUAUUAUGAACAUGCUUGCUUUAAAUUAUUAGUUAAUUGAAAUAAUUUAUAAUUUUAUCUAUGUAGUUGCAUCCACCAUAUUUUGAUAAAAUUUACAAAUGUCAGAUUUUGUUCUUUAGCAUAGGUUCAUGAAUGCCAAGCGCAUCCUAUCAACAUCAUCAAACUUUGGGCUCUGGCAGUUUGCUCUGUUUGUGAGGAUGGGUCAGUAGUGCGCUCACCAAGUGGACAGCGGUAGAAGCAACACUCAAAAGGAGCGACACAACAAAGACAGAGGACGACAUCGAGCGGAGGUGAGCCACUACCAAUUUAUCAUGAAAGACUUCUGCCUCAUGUGUUACGUCUGAUUGUUUGAACUUUGUUGUUAUCAAGCUAAAGGUCUUGUGGUUUGUGCGGAUGAUUUUCUUUCAUAGCCUAAAAUAUUUUCCCUUAAUAUUUCUGAAAUUAUUAUUUGUACAUUAUUUUCUGAUAUUUACCUCCUAUUUUGCAGGCUAUAUAGAAUGAUUGCAGGUUUUAACCAAGAAGUCCUCAAUAGGUGGACUGGCUCAAAAUGGAGAAGCAUGCUGGUAGCUUUUCUGUUGAUUGUAUUAAGCAUUUAAGUUCGUAGCAAUUCAUAACGUCAAAUCAUUGGGAUGCUUUGUAAUAUUUUAGAAAACUGUGUUUCUUUGCCGGAUCUAGCGUGCUGUCUAUAGAUGUGCUUACCUAUUUCCUUCUCACAUAUGGAAUGGGUUUUCGGAUAGCCUAGACAUACGAGACAAUUUGGGGGUGUCGAUUCUCUCUCUCUCUCUCUCUCUCUCAUAGAAUAAUGAACAACCAAUAAGACUAAUAUUAUAUACCUUCUCAUCA
This 2646-nucleotide long non-coding RNA is filed under the name Triticum aestivum (bread wheat). RNAcentral's name for it is "long non-coding RNA (TAES_LNC011580)". Lineage: Eukaryota; Viridiplantae; Streptophyta; Magnoliopsida; Poales; Poaceae. The record is from RNAcentral.